RNAcentral lists this ribosomal RNA (453 nucleotides) under uncultured Bacteroides sp. RNAcentral describes it as "partial 16S ribosomal RNA". It matches the Rfam family "Bacterial small subunit ribosomal RNA", at positions 341 to 792 of the family's 1533-position model. Lineage: Bacteria; Pseudomonadati; Bacteroidota; Bacteroidia; Bacteroidales; Bacteroidaceae. The record is from RNAcentral.
ACGGAAGGCAGCAGUGAGGAAUAUUGGUCAAUGGGCGAGAGCCUGAACCAGCCAAGUAGCGUGAAGGAUGAAGGUCCUAUGGGUUGUAAACUUCUUUUAUACGGGAAUAACAGACAAUACGUGUAUUGUUUUGCAUGUACCGUAUGAAUAAGCAUCGGCUAACUCCGUGCCAGCAGCCGCGGUAAUACGGAGGAUGCGAGCGUUAUCCGGAUUUAUUGGGUUUAAAGGGAGCGCAGACGGGUUUUUAAGUCAGCGGUAAAAGCGUGUGGCUCAACCAUACCACGCCGUUGAAACUGGAGACCUUGAGUGAGGCUGGGGUACGCGGAAUUCGUCGUGUAGCGGUGAAAUGCUUAGAUAUGACGAAGAACUCCGAUCGCGAAGGCAGCGUGCCAAACCUUAACUGACGUUCAUGCUCGAAGGUGCGGGUAUCAAACAGGAUUAGAUACCCUGGUA